AUUUAACUGUUAAUUUCUCCUUUACGCCUUAAUUAACCCUCCCGCCGCCUCAUCAACAGGUUAUUAAAGGUCCUCCGCACCUGUAUGACCUCCUAAUCUAAGGUCAAAGGGUGUAAUAAGGUCAGGGUCGCUGUGAAAUGAGGUGGGGCUUGAGACGGGGACAUAACGGGGACAUGGCCGACUUGAGCGCUACCAUUUUUUACCUCAUUUCUUGACCUCCCGGCCUUAGGUCAGGUCACGGGGGGUCAUGACCACGUGACCAGUGACCUCACGGACCUUUGGCACCCGGUAACGAAGCCCAAAAGGUCAAAAUAAGGUCAAGGUCGCUGAAUCCUUACGCCGGUGACUUAGGACAUGGCGCUCACGACCUCCCAUAUCCUGACCCCAUAGCUUGACCUGACCCUUGGGGGAGGCCACGUGGGGUUCUAGGAAGUCAAAAAAGCCUGAAAAUUACGAAGAAACGCCUUAAAUGACCCCAAAACAGCCUGAAAUACCCUGAGAUAAGCCUGGUUAACCCUAUAGGCCUACGUGACCCUAUGGCUUUACGUGACCCUGGGGGGGGGUCAUGGUGGGCUUGGGGUGGUCAGAAACGCCUGAAUAUUAUGAUAGAAUGCCUUAAAUAACAUCAGAACAGCCUGAAAUAAGCCUUGUAUGUCUGUCGUGAUGUCCGUCAGUCUGUCAGUCAGCCCUAAGCCCAAGUAGACCACAAGGCUUUAGUACAGGCUUCCCAGGGCUUAUAAUGACCCCAAAAUGCUUGAAAAUAAUAAAAAAGCCAGAAAUUUGCCUAGGAAAGCCCUGAAGCCUGUGAAUUAAGCCCAGUCUGUCUUGAAAAUCAACCCAACAAGACCACAAGGCUUUAGUACAGGCUUCUCAGGGCUAAUAUAGACCCGCAAAAGCCUGAAAAUAAUGUAAAAAGCCUGAAAUUAGCCUGAGAAAGCCCUUAAGACCUGUGAAAUAAGCCCGAGGAGUCUGAAAAAUGUGUAUGGUGUCUUCUCAGCCCGUAGCUCCCAGCCCAUUCAGUCCCCAGGCCUCAGUGAGUUUCCAGGGCUUAUUUGGACACAUAAAAGCCUGAAAAUAAGCCUGGGAAAGCCCUGUACUCUGUGAAAAUAUCCCCAUAAUUCUUAAAAAUAUAUGUGGUGUCAAGCCCAUAGCCCCUUGUCAGCCCUCAGCCCCAUAAACCCAUUUAGUCCUCAAGGCUUUAGUAUAGGCUUGCCAGGGUUCCCAAGGUUAAAAUAGGCCCCAGAAAGCCUGGAAGGCCCUAAAGCUUGCUAGCAGGAAAAUUUGGGUGGGUCAAAACCGGUGUCAUGCCCGGGUGGUGAUGAAUCAUACUGGGAAAUAUAUUAACACAAGCCUGGGAAUGAAUAUAAUAGAUAAAUAAUGCUAGAAAUAAAACCACUAAUAUAAUGAACUAUUCUACUAAUAAUAUACUAACACAGUGCUUAGAAUUAAUAAUAGAUAAGUAAUGCUUGAAAUAAAACCACUAAUGAACUAUUCUACUAAUAAUAUACUAACACAGUGCUUAAAAUUAAUAAUAGAUAAAUAAUGCUAGAAAUAAAACCACCAAUAUAAUGAACUAUU
Molecule: long non-coding RNA, 1578 nt
Organism: Eriocheir sinensis (Chinese mitten crab)
Lineage: Eukaryota; Metazoa; Arthropoda; Malacostraca; Decapoda; Varunidae
Exons: 2
Source: RefSeq, a predicted model, not a curated record